Molecule: ribosomal RNA, 298 nt
Filed under: uncultured bacterium
Lineage: Bacteria
Description: partial 16S ribosomal RNA
Rfam family: Bacterial small subunit ribosomal RNA
Source: RNAcentral
ACUCCUACGGGAGGCAGCAGUGGGGAAUAUUGCACAAUGGGCGCAAGCCUGAUGCAGCCAUGCCGCGUGUAUGAAAGGCAAGGCCUUCGGGUUGUAAAGUACUUUCAGCAGUGAGGAAGGUGGAGUCGUUAAUAGCGGCCCUAUUGACUGUUGACUGCAGAAGAAGCACCGGCUAACUCCGUGCCAGCAGCCGCGGUAAUACGGAGGGUGCGAGCGUUAAUCGGAAUUACUGGGCGUAAAGCGCAUGCAGGUGGUUUGUUAAGUCAGAUGUGAAAGCCCGGGGCUCAACCUCGGAAUA